Molecule: transfer RNA, 73 nt
Filed under: Cordylochernes scorpioides
Lineage: Eukaryota; Metazoa; Arthropoda; Arachnida; Pseudoscorpiones; Chernetidae
Description: tRNA-Thr
Rfam family: tRNA
About the family: Transfer RNA (tRNA) molecules are approximately 80 nucleotides in length.
Source: RNAcentral
UCCAGGGUAGCUUAGUGGACAUGGCACCUGCCCGGUAAGCAGAAGGUUGUGGGUUCGAUUCCCGCCCCUGGAC